Molecule: ribosomal RNA, 390 nt
Filed under: Ehrlichia chaffeensis
Lineage: Bacteria; Pseudomonadati; Pseudomonadota; Alphaproteobacteria; Rickettsiales; Anaplasmataceae
Description: bacterial SSU rRNA
Rfam family: Bacterial small subunit ribosomal RNA
Source: RNAcentral
CAAUUGCUUAUAACCUUUUGGUUAUAAAUUAUAGGAAGUGGCAGACGGGUGAGUAAUGCGUAGGAAUCUACCUAGUAGUAUGGAAUAGCCAUUAGAAAUGAUGGGUAAUACUGUAUAAUCCCUGCGGGGGAAAGAUUUAUCGCUAUUAGAUGAGCCUACGUUAGAUUAGCUAGUUGGUAAGGCAAUGGCUUACCAAGGCUAUGAUCUAUAGCUGGUCUGAGAGGACGAUCAGCCACACUGGAACUGAGAUACGGUCCAGACUCCUACGGGAGGCAGCAGUGGGGAAUAUUGGACAAUGGGCGAAAGCCUGAUCCAGCUAUGCCGCGUGAGUGAAGAAGGCCUUCGGGUUGUAAAACUCUUUCAAUAGGGAAGAUAAUGACGGUACCUAUA